RNAcentral lists this ribosomal RNA (253 nucleotides) under uncultured bacterium. RNAcentral describes it as "partial 16S ribosomal RNA". It matches the Rfam family "Bacterial small subunit ribosomal RNA", at positions 524 to 776 of the family's 1533-position model. The record is from RNAcentral.
UACGUAGGGGGCAAGCGUUGUCCGGAAUCAUUGGGCGUAAAGCGCGCGUAGGCGGCCCGGUAAGUCCGCUGUAAAAGUCCAGGGCUCAACCCUGGAAGGCCGGUGGAUACUGUCGGGCUAGAGUCCGGAAGAGGCGAGUGGAAUUCCUGGUGUAGCGGUGAAAUGCGCAGAUAUCAGGAGGAACACCGGUGGCGAAGGCGGGUCUCUGGGCCGAUACUGACGCUGAGGAGCGAAAGCGUGGGGAGCGAACAGG